GUAAUACUCCCUCUGAUCCAUAUUACUUGUCUCAAAUUUGUCUAAAUAUGGAUGUAUCUAUGUUUAAAAAAUGUCUAGAUACAUGUAAUAUUUCGACAAGUAAUAUGGGUUAGAGGGAGUAGUUG
Non-coding RNA from Brachypodium distachyon (stiff brome), 125 nucleotides. The record is from Rfam. NCBI's taxonomy places the organism in Eukaryota, Viridiplantae, Streptophyta, Magnoliopsida, Poales, Poaceae.